GGGGAGGUAACUCUAAAAAAGUGCAUUUUCUGAAGGAUUCUGUAUGGAAUUUUCCUAUUUUGUAUUUUAGCCGGAAAAUUUCUUUUGAUAUUCUCAAAGCAGUGUCUGAAAGCUAUCUUUUCCUGAAGUAUUUAACAAUUCUAUCAUUUUGUUUAGUUUCUAAUCACAAAAUGGUGUUUUUUCCUGUAUAAUCCAUACAAAAUGUGUCAUUUUGUCCCGUCCUGUAGCUUGAGAAAAUGCGCGGUGACCUAUCAUUUUUAUUAUAUUUUUCAACAUGUAUCAAUAGAUACAAUGUUUUGGCAAAGUAUGAAUAAAUUCUAUCAUUUUUAUUUUAGACUCCCAUAUCACCUUAA
Molecule: long non-coding RNA, 353 nt
Filed under: Mytilus galloprovincialis (Mediterranean mussel)
Lineage: Eukaryota; Metazoa; Mollusca; Bivalvia; Mytilida; Mytilidae
Source: RNAcentral